Molecule: ribosomal RNA, 826 nt
Filed under: uncultured bacterium
Lineage: Bacteria
Description: bacterial SSU rRNA
Rfam family: Bacterial small subunit ribosomal RNA
Source: RNAcentral
AGUCGAGCGAUGAGAUCACUUCGGUGAAGGAUUAGCGGCGAACGGGUGAGGAACACGUGAAGAAUCUGCCUUCAACUCUGGGAUAACUCCGGGAAACCGGGGCUAAUACCGGAUAUGAGCCUUGAUCGCAUGAUCGGGGCUGGAAAGUUUUUCGGUUGAAGAUGACUUCGCGGCCUAUCAGCUUGUUGGUGAGGUAAUGGCUCACCAAGGCGACGACGGGUAGCCGGCCUGAGAGGGCGACCGGCCACACUGGGACUGAGACACGGCCCAGACUCCUACGGGAGGCAGCAGUGGGGAAUAUUGGGCAAUGGAGGAAACUCUGACCCAGCGACGCCGCGUGCGGGAUGAAGGCCUUCGGGUUGUAAACCGCUUUCAGCAGGGAAUAAGCGCAAGUGAAGGUACCUGCAGAAGAAGCACCGGCUAACUAUGUGCCAGCAGCCGCGGUAAUACAUAGGGUGCAAGCGUUGUCCGGAAUUAUUGGGCGUAAAGAGCUCGUAGGUGGUUUGUUACGUCGGUUGUGAAAUUCAGGGGCUCAACCCCUGACUUGCAGCCGAUACGGGCAAGCUAGAGUUUGGUAGGGGAGACUGGAAUUCCUGGUGUAGCGGUGGAAUGCGCAGAUAUCAGGAGGAACACCGAUGGCGAAGGCAGGUCUCUGGGCCAAUACUGACACUGAGGAGCGAAAGCGUGGGGAGCGAACAGGAUUAGAUACCCUGGUAGUCCACGCCGUAAACGGUGGGCGCUAGUUGUGCGAACCUUCCACGGUUUGUGCGACGCAGCUAACGCAUUAAGCGCCCCGCCUGGGGAGUACGAUCGCAAGAUUAAAACU